GGCUAAAAUUAAACAUGGUGCUUCUAUUAGCAACAUUUCUCCUUUUUCUGUUGUUCCAUAACGAAAAGGAGAAGAAAAAAAAACACCAAAAAAAAGUACAAUAACAAAGAAAACCAGCAUAAAAUCUGCAAGAUUGAUAAAAAAAAAAUUGCUUUUCUCCUUUUUUUCUGUAGGGAUAUUUGAAAAUAGAAAAUGAUUACAAGAACUGAAAGAUGUUGUCUAUGUUUGAGACAGAAUAUGAUUUGCUAACUCUCCACAAUAGUUGGACCACUGUACAUUCUUCCUUCCACUUUUAAAUCUUCAAGUUGGUCCUUUUCUUGUAGCCAUUCAUAAACACUCCUUUCCUCUUCUGGUAUGGAUAGUCCUUCAACUGAAAUUUCAUGAGAAUGUAGUUUAGUUUAGCACACCAAUUAUGUACAUAGAUAUAAUUAAAGUUUAUGUGGGGUCCAGCGUAAAUAGGAAUAUUGAUAGUGACAUGUGGGACCUAGAUUGCGUGCAGGCACAUAAGCACGCAAUGAGACAAAUCGGAAUCAUUCAAUCAAGAUCAAAUGACUUGGAAGCAAGAACAAAAACUGCGCGUAAUUGCGUCUUUUGUUUAGUACAACAAAUCCCGGUCCAAAAUCUAAGUAGUUACUUCUAAGCCAUAUGAUUUUGAUCGUAAAGUAUACAUCGCGUGACUUUGGUUGGAAUUCACGACUACAAGAAAUCUAAAUCCAUUAUAUUGCAACGAAUUCCAUCCCGUCACGCAAUCAUGAAUCUCAACCAUUGUAUAAGAUCAAACGACUUGCAUUAUUAAUUGUACUUUAAACCCAAGUUUGAAUCAAGCUAUUCGAUCUUUAUCCAACAACCAAGAUCGCUUAACAACAUGAUUGCGUGUUUUCUUUUACUGCGGAGAAUCCGAGGAUAUGUUAAGAGAUAUAGAAAUAGCUUAAUCAUAAAAUGAAGUGUACUAGUGAAGAAAGGCAUAACUAUUUCAAGUAAAAUGUCCAAAAGUAUGUAGAUUUUAGAGAAAAAUUUACCUUGGAAGUUGGAAAAUGGAUAAUUAGUGUAGUAUGUGCAGUGUCUUCCAUCAAAAUCAGAAUAUGGAGGACCGAGAACAUCAAGAACUGCACAUGCUGUCACUGCUGUGAAACAAUGCAAGUUGCCACCAUCCUCGGGAUAUAAGAUAGAAGGGUUGCAAGGAGCAGUGAAAUCAUCAUCAACCUUCACUUUUGCUAACCUCAAGUCAGGACCUGCAACAUUAGAAUAUAAAUGUUAAUUAUUUUUCUUUAAUGUUAUUAUUUUCAGCUAGGACAAUAAAAAAACAAUGAUAUGAACUAUAGUUUUAAAUUAGGGUUUGAAACUGCAAUUGCAACCACAUUUGUCCGUACUUCCCCUUAACAUUAAAUAUUGCAGCGUUACUAUGACCGCGACUACAGUUACAGCCGCAUUUGUCUGCACUUUCACCUGAAGUUAACAAUUGCAGCAAUGUAACGGUAACCGCAACUACAACUGCGGUGGUUUGGAUAUGGACAUAUUACUUCUAAACUACACAAAAAAUCUUAAAAUAUACAAGGGCAUCAAAUGUUAAUUAAAUAGCAAUUUUUUCUAUUUUAGGACUAUUCUAUUGUAUUGAAUAUGUCUAGCUUAGGUUCUACAAUUUUAAAAAGAAUAAUAGUACAAAAGCAUCAUCAUAAAUAAUAUAAGUACUACUCACUUUCUGAGGGUUUGAAAAUGGUAGGAGAUUCAGGAGGCAAGUCAACCACCCAAUCAUAUGAUUUGAUGUGCAUAGUUCCAAAAAGUAGCUUACUAAAAACUGUCAUUCCAGGGUGAUUAUGUAGAGGAAUAACACCAGAAGGUGGCAAACAAAAUAUUCCCAUCUGUACAUCACAUUAAAAAUGUGUAUAAGGUCACCAUCAAUAAAACAGAACUCUUCAACAAAAUUAAAAAAAUAAAAUGUGUGUUUUGUAAACUGUCUGAUCUAAAUCUAACUGCAUAUUUUGCGAACUGUUUGAUCGGAUCAAGAUUCCCUAGAGUCGAGAUAUUAUGAAUUCAUGCAGUCAAUACAACGGUAACAGUUGGAUCAAUAUCGGAUGGUUUGGAUUUCAAAUUCGGUAUUUUGGGUUUUCUAAAAAAAAUAAUCAAAAUGUACAUAUUUUGUGAAGAGUUCGAUCUGAAACCAACGGUCACCAAUGCAUUGACUGUGUGAAUGUAGAGAUAUCCCGAGUGAAGGGGGUCCAUUUUCUUACUAAACAUCAUAUAAACAAUUUAGACUGGCUUAGUUACUUACUGAGAAUUUCUCGCACUCGUAAAUGUGCAAGUAUGUAAUUUUUGGCCUUCUGUGAGAUGCAUUUGCCCGGAAAUAUGGCAUAUUAGGAUCCAAGUCAACAUCUUCUGGUUUUAUUCCAUCUGCUCAAAGGAGAAGCAAGAGUUGUAUACUUUGCAUGGCACAUGAAACUCAUGAAAAUUUUCAACAAUUUACUCAUAUUUAACCUAUAACCUAUGAACCACAUACACAAAAGCGGCACAGACACUGGUAAUAAUCGGAGAAAUUAAAAGACAUUAAAUACAAUCAAAUGUGUUGACACCGACACACUUUCAAUAUGAUGUGUCGGUGUUUCAUAGAAUAUAACUAUUGUAAUUAACCUUUGGAGUUUUGACAUAGACUAUAUAUCAUUAACAACUCUUACUAGAUAAUGAGUUUUUCUAUUCAUAGGCUUAUAGGCUUUAAGCCACCAACAAUGUUUUCCCUUUAUUGAUAAUAAUGUACUAAUAAUCACCAUACAAAAAACAAAAAUGUCAAGAACAUUUUUAGCUUUCUAUAAUGUCCAUUGUUAUUUAUUGACAUUUGAAAGUUCUAUACCUAAUAAUAGGGAUUUAAACUUUCAUUACUAACCUAUAAUAUAGCUAAUUAACACCUAAUUAGUCCUAAUUAACCACAAAGUAAAUCCAAAUAAUCCACAUUAGAAGUCAAAUAAAUUAAUGAAUGGAUAUGAACAUAAAAAAGGAGAGAAGAGAGACAUGAGAGAGAGAGAGAGAGAGAGAGAGAGAGAGAGAGAUUUAUUAUCAAUAUGUUUGAUGUCUCAUUCACAUUAGACCAUGGACUUGACAUCACAUUGUAAACUGAAUUUUUUUUCAAUGUAAAAUAUAUAUCUCGUGGGGAACAAAUAGCACAUGACAACAUGCAAAUUUUUAUUUUAUUUGAUAGCCAAAUCAAAGAACCUCGGAAUAUAUAAUAUAUAAAUAUACAAAUACAUAAAUAAAACACAUGCAUGCAAAUCAUGUUAAGACACAUCACAUCUCACACUAAGGAGAGAAAACAAUAGCAAGUACAUAAAAGAGCACAAAACCCCCCACACAACUCACCCAAUAGUAUUCAUGGUAUAAUGAUAACAUAUUAACAUCAAAAAUUGGUACAAUUUUGAAAAAAGUUAAAAGAGUUAAAAACAAAACAUGAAACAUGACACAUGUAAUAUUUUAUGAACAAAACCUUAUGAGUUGUGACAAAAAAAAAAAAAAUUUAAUUAUAAUUUCAAAGAAUGUGAGAAAAUUUUGACAAAACACAAGUAUCUUCAUUUACACAAAAAUUUUGACACAAGACACGGAUACACCGAAUAGGACACUGACACGUAUACACACGCAAUAAUUUGAGAAAUACAAAUGAUUGAAUACAAUAGAAUGUGUCCCUGUCAUGUCGGUGUCCAUUGACACAAAAUAUCAAACACGCUUUCAAUGUGAAAUAUCGUGCUAAUUAGUAAAAAAUCACACCUGGUAAACAAUUAAUAACAAUAACAAAUGAAAAUUAACACGACACCGACAUAUAGACACCAAAAUAAUUGAGAAAAUAAAAAUGAUUGAAUAUAAUCAAUGUAUCUCGGUAUCAUGUCAGUGACUAAGAAACAUAUAUAUCUGACACGCCUUCAAUCUGAAAUAUCAUUAAAUACAUUGGAAGAAAAAAAUACACAUCCCAUAACUAAUUAACAACACAAAAACAAUGAAACAAAUUAAGAAGAAAUAAAAAGAACAAGAACCUCGUACCUAAAACAGACCGCAACUUAUCAAUGUCCUCAGCUGGUGGGACAAUUCCUGUCCCACUAGAAGCAAAGACUUCCUUACAAGUCUCAAAAAGUUUCUGAACCGGCGGCAUCUUCUUCUGACGCCGCCGGUUCCUCCUUGACCUGCUGCUAGUAAUUGUUUCCUUUGGCAAUUCACAAAAAUCUCUUCCUUUUCUAUCAGCUAAGGUUCUCUCUAUCCCCAUUCAAACCAAAACCAAAAAUCUUUCAACUUUGUUCACCAACUGAAAAAUUCAAUGCAUCAAACUUAAUUUCAGCACAAAGGGUAUCCAAAAAAUAAUACAAAUUUCAAAAUUAACACGCCCCAUAAAAAUUUCAAAAACAGAGGAAACAGGGGAAUUGGAUUAAAUCAUAAAAUCUCUCAAAAAAUUUCACCAACUGAAAAAUUCAAUGCAAUAAACUUAAUUUAUACUAAAAGGGUGUCCAAAAAAACAAUUCAAAUUUGAAAAUCAAUACACCCCAUAAAAAAUUCAGAAACAGAGGAAUAGUAAUAAAAACAGAGGAAACAGGGGAAUUGGAUUAAAAAAUAAGUUAAAAAUAUAAAUAAUAAUUUAAAAUGUAAAUAUAAAUAUAAAUAAUAAGAAUGAGGUAAGUGUUUUUUUGUUUACAUUGUUUUUUUGGUCACUAAGAUGUUUUUUUUGGUUGCACAAGUUGUUGAGGAUGUUUUUUGAUGAGGUUAAGGAUGAAAAAUGUUGUAAAAUUUG
This 4756-nucleotide long non-coding RNA is filed under the name Medicago truncatula (barrel medic). RNAcentral describes it as "lncRNA gene34271". Lineage: Eukaryota; Viridiplantae; Streptophyta; Magnoliopsida; Fabales; Fabaceae. The record is from RNAcentral.